UACGGAGGAUCCAAGCGUUAUCCGGAUUCAUUGGGUUUAAAGGGUGCGUAGGCGGAAUUUUAAGUCAGUGGUGAAAUCUUCCAGCUUAACUGGGAAACUGCCAUUGAUACUGAUAUUCUUGAGUUUGGCUGAAGUAGGCGGAAUGAGGCAUGUAGCGGUGAAAUGCAUAGAUAUGCCUCAGAACACCAAUUGCGAAGGCAGCUUACUAAACCAAUACUGACGCUAAGGCACGAAAGCGUGGGGAGCAAACAGG
RNAcentral lists this unclassified non-coding RNA (253 nucleotides) under uncultured Cryomorphaceae bacterium. RNAcentral's name for it is "contains 16S-23S intergenic spacer region". It matches the Rfam family "Bacterial small subunit ribosomal RNA", at positions 524 to 776 of the family's 1533-position model. The record is from RNAcentral. Lineage: Bacteria; Pseudomonadati; Bacteroidota; Flavobacteriia; Flavobacteriales; Cryomorphaceae.